RNAcentral lists this ribosomal RNA (253 nucleotides) under uncultured bacterium. RNAcentral describes it as "partial 16S ribosomal RNA". It matches the Rfam family "Bacterial small subunit ribosomal RNA", at positions 524 to 776 of the family's 1533-position model. The record is from RNAcentral.
UACGUAGGCAGCAAGCGUUGUUCGGAGUUACUGGGCGUAAAGAGUGCGUAGGCGGUCCUGUAAGUUUGGUGUGAAAUCUCCCGGCUCAACUGGGAGGGUGCGCCGAAGACUGCAGGGCUUGAGUAUGGGAGAGGUAAGCGGAAUUCCUGGUGUAGCGGUGAAAUGCGUAGAUAUCAGGAGGAACACCUGUGGUGUAGACAGCUUACUGGACCAUCACUGACGCUGAGGCACGAAAGCGUGGGGAGCAAACAGG